Molecule: ribosomal RNA, 492 nt
Filed under: uncultured bacterium
Lineage: Bacteria
Description: partial 16S ribosomal RNA
Rfam family: Bacterial small subunit ribosomal RNA
Source: RNAcentral
AGUGAACGCUGGCGGUAGGCCUAACACAUGCAAGUCGAACGGCAGCACAGUAGGAGCUUGCUCUUACGGGUGGCGAGUGGCGGACGGGUGAGGAAUACAUCGGAAUCUACUUUUUCGUGGGGGAUAACGUAGGGAAACUUACGCUAAUACCGCAUACGACCUACGGGUGAAAGCAGGGGAUCUACGGACCUUGCGCGAUUGAAUGAGCCGAUGUCGGAUUAGCUAGUUGGCGGGGUAAAGGCCCACCAAGGCGACGAUCCGUAGCUGGUCUGAGAGGAUGAUCAGCCACACUGGAACUGAGACACGGUCCAGACUCCUACGGGAGGCAGCAGUGGGGAAUAUUGGACAAUGGGCGCAAGCCUGAUCCAGCCAUACCGCGUGGGUGAAGAAGGCCUUCGGGUUGUAAAGCCCUUUUGUUGGGAAAGAAAAGCAGCAGGUUAAUACCCCGCUGUUCUGACGGUACCCAAAGAAUAAGCACCGGCUAACUUCGUG